Molecule: ribosomal RNA, 481 nt
Filed under: uncultured bacterium
Lineage: Bacteria
Description: partial 16S ribosomal RNA
Rfam family: Bacterial small subunit ribosomal RNA
Source: RNAcentral
GAUGAACGCUGGCGGCGUGCUUAACACAUGCAAGUCGAACGAAGCAUUUGCGACAGAUUUUUUCGGUAUGAAGUUGCUUAUGACUGAGUGGCGGACGGGUGAGUAACGCGUGGGUAACCUGACUUGUACUGGGGGAUAGCAGCUGGAAACGGCUGGUAAUACCGCAUAAGCGCACAAUGUUGCAUGACAUGGUGUGAAAAACUCCGGUGGUAUAUGAUGGACCCGCGUCUGAUUAGCUAGUUGGUGGGAUAACAGCCUACCAAGGCGAGGAUCAGUAGCCGAGCUGGGAGGGGGACCGACUACAUUGGGACUGAGACACGGACCAGACUGCGACGGGAGGCAGCAGUGGAGAAUAUUGCACAAUGGAGGAAACUCUGAUGCAGCGACGCCGCGUGAGUGAAGAAGUAAUUCGUUAUGUAAAGCUCUAUCAGCAGGGAAGAGAGUGACGGUACCUGACAAAGAAGCACCGGCUAAAUACGUG